Molecule: long non-coding RNA, 2196 nt
Organism: Raphanus sativus (radish)
Lineage: Eukaryota; Viridiplantae; Streptophyta; Magnoliopsida; Brassicales; Brassicaceae
Exons: 3
Source: RefSeq, a predicted model, not a curated record
CAUUCUUUUUUGGUUUAACCAAAACGUGCAUAUGUAUAUAUAUAAAGCGUAUGCAUCUCCUUCUUUUCCCUACCCUAGCCGCACCAUCUCUUUUAAUGACGAUCAAAGGAAGAAGCCACUAUCAUCACUCGUUUGUUGCUGCAGCCAUCGUCUUUCACUACUAGAGGCACCACGCUCACCGGAGGUGAAGUCCCUACCAUCACCUUCUUUAUUCUAUCCCAUGAUGUGGAGAAGAGUUGAAUCCAAACCGGAGCCGUCGCGUUCAUUUCCGUUCAUCACCACCACAUCGCCUUCAAUCAAGUCAUUACCGGAGAUCAGCCUCAUCAUUGAUGGUGUCACGUACCAGAUCCGGGGAAUGGAGAACAUGAACAUAACCGGAGCCACCACCUACCUAACGUUAUCUCAUGCGUGAUGUUUAAGUGCCUUUCUUUUUAUUACUUGAGCAACAAGUAAUCAUUUUCAUAAUUCCUAGAUCUAAUCAGCUUAUUUUCUUUUGUAUUUAUUCGUCCUUCUCGGGAUGCUGAUGUGAGAUAUUCAUGACUCCAUUAUGUCAUCUUGCUCCAUGUUGUGGUUAUGGCUCGUAUCUCGGGUUGUGUUCUUUGGUUAAGCUUGUACCAGUUUCUGUUCAACUCUAAACCAGUGGCUAAGGUGAGCUUGACGAGUAGUCGGAUAUCUGGACGGAUGGUGUCUUGGGAUUGUCGUAUUUUAUUUCGAUUUUCAACUCGACUUAUUUGACAUAUUUUUAUAAUUGAUUUUAAAGAUAUAUUUCUUGUGGAUAUAUUUUAUUAAAUAUUUUUAAUAUUUUUCGGUUUUAAAUAAUUCGGUAUAAUUGUAUUUUAUUUUUUAUUUGAUUUAUUUUAAAUAUUUUUAUAAUUAAAUUUAAAGAUGUAUUUUUCAGAUUUAUUUUUAUUAAAUGUGUUCGAUAAUUUAUUCGGCUUUGAAUAACUCGGUUUAAUUUGGUAUUUUUCUGGUAACUAACACGCCGGUCUCGAGAGAGGAGGAGACGGGUGUUACAAUUGGUAUCAGAGCGGGGUUCCGUCCCGGCUCUGACCUGGGACGGCGAUUUAUGGGACUCGGAUUUCAGUGAUUUUUUCAAUGUUUUGGGAUUGGGAGUUUUGAAAAAAAAAAAUUUGACACCUUCCUCUCGAGUAUCAUCCGGUUAUUGGUUAGCGUUUCUGAUUUUGUUUUCUUUUGCAGAAGAAGAUCAAGUUUAUGUUCGCUUUCUUUGUUCUCGUCUUGUGUCCUUCUUUCUUUUGUAUCCGUUGAAGUUCUUUUCGGGUUCUGUUUUAGAAUUCGGGACGAAUUCCAAUUAAGUGGGGAAUAAUUGUAACGACCCGGUUUUCUUAACCGGGAUUGGUUGCAUUUUUCUCUUUAAUUAAUUUGGACCAAACCAAUUUCAUUCUUUUUUGGUUUAACCAAAACGUGCAUAUGUAUAUAUAUAAAGCGUAUGCAUCUCCUUCUUUUCCCUACCCUAGCCGCACCAUCUCUUUUAAUGACGAUCAAAGGAAGAAGCCACUAUCAUCACUCGUUUGUUGCUGCAGCCAUCGUCUUUCACUACCAGAGGCACCACGCUCACCGGAGGUGAAGUCCCUACCAUCACCUUCUUUAUUCUAUCCCAUGAUGUGGAGAAGAGUUGAAUCCAAACCGGAGCCGUCGCGUUCAUUUCCGUUCAUCACCACCACAUCGCCUUCAAUCAAGUCAUUACCGGAGAUCAGCCUCAUCAUUGAUGGUGUCACGUACCAGAUCCGGGGAAUGGAGAACAUGAACAUAACCGGAGCCACCACCUACCUAACGUUAUCUCAUGCGUGAUGUUUAAGUGCCUUUCUUUUUAUUACUUGAGCAACAAGUAAUCAUUUUCAUAAUUCCUAGAUCUAAUCAGCUUAUUUUCUUUUGUAUUUAUUCGUCCUUCUCGGGAUGCUGAUGUGAGAUAUUCAUGACUCCAUUAUGUCAUCUUGCUCCAUGUUGUGGUUAUGGCUCGUAUCUCGGGUUGUGUUCUUUGGUUAAGCUUGUACCAGUUUCUGUUCAACUCUAAACCAGUGGCUAAGGUGAGCUUGACGAGUAGUCGGAUAUCUGGACGGAUGGUGUCUUGGGAUUGUCGUAUUUUAUUUCGAUUUUCAACUCGACUUAUUUGACAUAUUUUUAUAAUUGAUUUUAAAGAUAUAUUUCUUGUGGAUAUAUUUUAUUAAAUAUUUUUAA